AGGGUUUGAUCCUGGCUCAGAACGUACGCUGGCGGCACGCCUUAUACAUGCAAGUCGAACGAAGUAGCAAUACUUAGUGGCAGACGGGUGAGUAACAUGUAGGUAUCUUCCCUUUGGUGAGGAAUAACACGAGGAAACUUGUGCUAAUACCUCAUAAGUCCUCACGGAGAAAGCUUUAUGCGCCAAAGGAUGAGCCUGCAUUUGAUUAGUUUGUUGGUGGGGUAAUGGCCUACCAAGACUUUGAUCAAUAGCUGAUCUGAGAGGAUGAUCAGCCACAUUGGGACUGAGACACGGCCCAAACUCCUACGGGAGGCAGCAGUAGGGAAUAUUGCACAAUGGAGGAAACUCUGAUGCAGCGAUGCCGCGUGAGUGAAGAAGGCCUUAGGGUUGUAAAGCACUUUAAGUGAGGAAGAAAAGAUUUAAAUUAAUACUUUAAGUCCCUGACAUUACUCACAGAAUAAGGACCGGCUAACUCCGUGCCAGCAGCCGCGGUAAUACGGAGGGUCCAAGCGUUAAUCGGAAUUACUGGGCGUAAAGCGCGCGUAGAUGGUUUAUUCAGUUGGGUGUGAAAUCCCUGGGCUCAACCUAGGAACUGCAUUCAAAACUUAUAAACUAGAGUACGAAAGAGGAGAGUAGAAUUCAUGGUGUAGCGGUGAAAUGCGUAGAGAUCAUGAGGAAUACCAGUGGCGAAGGCGACUCUCUGGUUCGAGACUGACAUUGAGGUGCGAAAGCGUGGGUAGCAAACAGGAUUAGAUACCCUGGUAGUCCACGCCGUAAACGAUGAGAACUAGCCGUUGGAUCUUUAGAUUCAGUGGCGCAGCUAACGCAUUAAGUUCUCCGCCUGGGGAGUACGGCCGCAAGGCUAAAACUCAAAUGAAUUGACGGGGGCCCGCACAAGCGGUGGAGCAUGUGGUUUAAUUCGAUGCAACGCGAAGAACCUUACCAACCCUUGACAUCCAGUGGAAGUUUUAGAGAUAAAACUGUGCCUUUGGGAACACUGUGACAGGUGUUGCAUGGCUGUCGUCAGCUCGUGUCGUGAGAUGUAUGGUUAAGUCCAGUAACGAGCGCAACCCUUAUCCUUAUUUGCCAGCACUUCGGGUGGGAACUUUAAGGAGACUGCCGUGAAUAACACGGAGGAAGGUGGGGACGACGUCAAGUCAUCAUGGCCCUUACGGGUUGGGCUACACACGUGCUACAAUGGGAGAUACAGACGGUUGCGAAAGCGCGAGCUGGAGCUAAUCCUACAAAGUCUUCCUCAGUCCGGAUUGGAGUCUGCAACUCGACUCCAUGAAGUAGGAAUCGCUAGUAAUCGCGAAUCAGAAUGUCGCGGUGAAUACGUUCUCGGGCCUUGUACACACCGCCCGUCACGUCAUGGGAGUGUGUUGUACCAGAAGUGGCUUGCCUAACCUUCGGGAGGGCGGUCCCCACGGUAUGAUACGCGACUGGGACGAAGUCGUAACAAGGUAGCCGUA
This 1472-nucleotide ribosomal RNA is filed under the name uncultured bacterium. RNAcentral's name for it is "partial 16S ribosomal RNA". It matches the Rfam family "Bacterial small subunit ribosomal RNA". The record is from RNAcentral.